CCGACCUUAGCUCAGUUGGUAGAGCGGAGGACUGUAGUGUGUUGCAGAUAAAUCCUUAGGUCGCUGGUUCGAAUCCGGCAGGUCGGA
RNAcentral lists this transfer RNA (87 nucleotides) under Setaria italica (foxtail millet). Its description in RNAcentral is "tRNA tRNA-Tyr". It matches the Rfam family "tRNA". Rfam says of the family: Transfer RNA (tRNA) molecules are approximately 80 nucleotides in length. Lineage: Eukaryota; Viridiplantae; Streptophyta; Magnoliopsida; Poales; Poaceae. RNAcentral also lists the same sequence under 1 other name. The record is from Rfam by way of RNAcentral.